AAAGUGGAGCAAUCCAUGAGUAAAGUGGCGUACGGGUGAGUAACACGUGGAUCAUCUACCCUCUAGUGGGGAAUACCGCUGGGAAACCGGCGACAAUACCGCAUAAGCUCGAGAGAGGAAAGCAGCAAUGCGCUGGAGGAGGAGUCCGCGGUCGAUUAGUUAGUUGGCGGGGUAAAGGCCCACCAAGACUGUGAUCGAUAGCCGGCCUGAGAGGGCACACGGCCACACUGGCACUGAAACACGGGCCAGACUCCUACGGGAGGCAGCAGUGGGGAAUCUUGCACAAUGGGGGAAACCCUGAUGCAGCGACGCCGCGUGAGCGAUGAAGCCCCUCGGGGUGUAAAGCUCUUUCGGCAGGGAAGAUUAUGACGGUACCUGCAAAAGCAGCUGCGGCUAACUACGUGCCAGCAGCCGCGGUAAUACGUAGGCAGCAAGCGUUGUUCGGAGUUACUGGGCGUAAAGGGUGCGUAGGCGGCUUUUUAAGUUUGGUGUGAAAUCUCCCGGCUCAACUGGGAGGGUGCGCCGAAUACUGAGAGGCUAGAGUGUGGGAGAGGAAAGUGGAAUUCCUGGUGUAGCGGUGAAAUGCGUAGAUAUCAGGAGGAACACCGGUGGUGUAAACGGCUUUCUGGACCAUAACUGACGAUGAGGCACGAAAGCGUGGGUAGCAAACAGGAUUAGAUACCCUGGUAGUCCACGCCCUAAACGAUGCANAUUUGGUGUGGGCCAUUCAUUUGGUCUGUGCCGGAGCUAACGCGUUAAAUAUGCCGCCUGGGGAGUACAGUCGCAAGGCUGAAACUC
RNAcentral lists this ribosomal RNA (798 nucleotides) under uncultured Bacillota bacterium. RNAcentral describes it as "bacterial SSU rRNA". It matches the Rfam family "Bacterial small subunit ribosomal RNA", at positions 71 to 902 of the family's 1533-position model. The record is from RNAcentral. Lineage: Bacteria; Bacillati; Bacillota.